GCAGGAUGUGGCUCAUGGAGAGCAUCGGGCCAAAAGCUCGAAGGCAUCGGUUCGAUUCCGGUCUCUUGCUCCA
RNAcentral lists this transfer RNA (73 nucleotides) under Bradyrhizobium sp. cir1. RNAcentral describes it as "tRNA-Phe". It matches the Rfam family "tRNA". Rfam says of the family: Transfer RNA (tRNA) molecules are approximately 80 nucleotides in length. Their secondary structure includes four short double-helical elements and three loops (D, anti-codon, and T loops). Lineage: Bacteria; Pseudomonadati; Pseudomonadota; Alphaproteobacteria; Hyphomicrobiales; Nitrobacteraceae. The record is from RNAcentral.